GAAGACCUUCUGUAGAGCGAACCGAGACACCUGAGGCCCAGGAUCAUCCGACUAUGGCUGAGUUUACCGAGUUCUUUUGAGCCAUCCAGGGUCUAAUCGCAGCCGUAUGCUUUAAACCAAGCAAACUAAUGCCAACACCCCCUGUCCCUGACUAUCAUUCAGCUGAGAGAUCUAUCUCCUAUAAUAUAGCACAGUUUAAGAAACUCAACUCACCCCACUUUGAAGGAGGCC
Molecule: long non-coding RNA, 231 nt
Filed under: Carica papaya (papaya)
Lineage: Eukaryota; Viridiplantae; Streptophyta; Magnoliopsida; Brassicales; Caricaceae
Description: long non-coding RNA (CPAP_LNC011850)
Source: RNAcentral